AGGGAGGAAAAUUAAGAGAGUGCAAAAAAAAAAAUGCAGUAUUGCACGUCACCACUAGGAAGAAAUUGGUUAAAUUUUGCCCCCUAGCGGCCCAAAUCUGGGUGUGGCCCCUUCUGCACAAUGGAGCUGAACAAGGCAAAGCAGGGACAAGGCUGAGAGCAGCUUCCAGGUUGUGCUGGGAUCUGAGCGCAGGAACACCCAAGGGCAGUUCGAGGGCAGGCAGCUUCACCCUUCGCCACUGCCAACCCCCAGCAUUCUCCUCACUGGGAGGGCAGUGGGGCCACAGCAGUGGCACAAAACCUGCAUGCUGAGACCAGCCACAACUUCCUCUCCCGGUGCUGAAGAGACAAAACCCCUUGGGGUUGCAUGGCUGCUGGAGGCAAUGGGUGAACCGCCACAGACUGUGGUCAUGAAGAUUUUUGGGGGUCCUGCAGAGACCCGCGAGGAGAAAAUUCAGUCUCAUAUGCAAUCCCUAAGGAAGAUAUUGGUAGAGUUUCUAGGCUGGAG
Molecule: long non-coding RNA, 507 nt
Organism: Empidonax traillii (willow flycatcher)
Lineage: Eukaryota; Metazoa; Chordata; Aves; Passeriformes; Tyrannidae
Exons: 3
Source: RefSeq, a predicted model, not a curated record